AGCAACUUCAUUCUCUUCAUUCAUUCAGAGUUGGAGAGCAAUCACUUGUAGAGAGAAGUGAGAGCAAAUACAGAGAGAGCUACUUAGAGUUCUAGAGAGAGAAAGAGCUUUGUAGUAGGCACUCUUGUAUUCUAGCAGUUAGUGGGUAGCUGGUCCCAAUAUAUAAGGACAGCUGGCCUAGAUUGUUAGGACCUUUUUGUGUUAAUAAAAAGGUUGGGGGUUUCCCCGAAUAUCGUGGCUCUUGUGAUUCUGUUGAUUAUUACUAACCCCUUUUGCAGGUUGGGUUAGCUGCGCAUUGCUGGCCAAGCUCUAGGAGUAGAGUUGGCGCAUCACUUAGGCGA
This 341-nucleotide long non-coding RNA is filed under the name Daucus carota (carrot). Its description in RNAcentral is "long non-coding RNA (DCAR_LNC001845)". The record is from RNAcentral. Lineage: Eukaryota; Viridiplantae; Streptophyta; Magnoliopsida; Apiales; Apiaceae.